RNAcentral lists this ribosomal RNA (576 nucleotides) under uncultured eukaryote. RNAcentral describes it as "SSU rRNA". It matches the Rfam family "Eukaryotic small subunit ribosomal RNA", at positions 174 to 760 of the family's 1831-position model. The record is from RNAcentral.
UAAAAACCCCGACUUCGGAAGGGGUGUAUUUAUUAGAUACAAAACCAAUGCCCUUCGGGGCUCUUUGGUGAUUCAUGAUAACUAUACGAAUCGCACGGCCUUGCGCCGGCGAUGGUUCAUUCAAAUUUCUUCCCUAUCAACUUUCGAUGUUUGGGUAUUGGCCAAACAUGGUUGCAACGGGUAACGGAGGGUUAGGGCUCGACCCCGGAGAAGGAGCCUGAGAAACGGCUACUACAUCCAAGGAAGGCAGCAGGCGCGCAAAUUACCCAAUCCCGACUCGGGGAGGUAGUGACAAUAAAUACUGAUACAGGGCCCUUUCGGGCCUUGUAAUUGGAAUGAGUACAAUUUAAAUCCCUUAACGAGGAACAAUUGGAGGGCAAGUCUGGUGCCAGCAGCCGCGGUAAUUCCAGCUCCAAUAGCGUAUAUUAAAGUUGUUGUGGUUAAAAAGCUCGUAGUUGAACCUUGGGCCUGGCUGGCCGGUCCGCCUCACCACGUGCACUGGUCCGGCCGGGCCUUUCCCUCUGUGGAACCAAUAACCUUCAUGGGCGUGGCGGGGAAACAGGACAUUUAUUUUGA